This 433-nucleotide ribosomal RNA is filed under the name uncultured bacterium. RNAcentral's name for it is "partial 16S ribosomal RNA". It matches the Rfam family "Bacterial small subunit ribosomal RNA", at positions 29 to 507 of the family's 1533-position model. The record is from RNAcentral.
AGCGAACGCUGGCGGCAGGCCUAACACAUGCAAGUCGAACGAACUCUUCGGAGUUAGUGGCGGACGGGUGAGUAACACGUGGGAACGUGCCUUUUGGUUCGGAAUAACUCAGGGAAACUUGUGCUAAUACCGAAUGUGCCCUUCGGGGGAAAGAUUUAUCGCCAUUAGAGCGGCCCGCGUCUGAUUAGCUAGUUCGUGAGGUAACGGCUCACCAAGGCGACGAUCAGUAGCUGGUCUGAGAGGAUGACCAGCCACACUGGGACUGGGACACGGCCCAGACUCCUACGGGAGGCAGCAGUGGGGAAUCUUGCGCAAUGGGCGAAAGCCUGACGCAGCCAUGCCGCGUGAAUGAUGAAAGUCUUAGGAUUGUAAAAUUCUUUCACCGGGGACGAUAAUGACGGUACCCGGAGAAGAAGCCCCGGCUAACUUCGUG